GAUGAACGCUGGCGGCGUGCCUAAUACAUGCAAGUCGAGCGAACGGACGAGAAGCUUGCUUCUCUGAUGUUAGCGGCGGACGGGUGAGUAACACGUGGAUAACCUACCUAUAAGACUGGGAUAACUUCGGGAAACCGGAGCUAAUACCGGAUAAUAUUUUGAACCGCAUGGUUCAAAAGUGAAAGACGGUCUUGCUGUCACUUAUAGAUGGAUCCGCGCUGCAUUAGCUAGUUGGUAAGGUAACGGCUUACCAAGGCAACGAUGCAUAGCCGACCUGAGAGGGUGAUAGGCGACACUGGAACUGAGACACGGUCCAGACUCCUAAGGGAGGCAGCAGUAGGGAAUCUGCCGCAAUGGGCGAAAGCCUGACGGAGCAACGCCGCGUGAGUGAUGAAGGUCUUCGGAUCGUAAAACUCUGUUAUGAGGGAAGAACAUAUGUGUAAGUAAAUGUGCACAUCUUGACGGUACCUAAUCAGAAAGCAACGGCUAACUACGUG
This 497-nucleotide ribosomal RNA is filed under the name uncultured bacterium. RNAcentral's name for it is "partial 16S ribosomal RNA". It matches the Rfam family "Bacterial small subunit ribosomal RNA", at positions 28 to 507 of the family's 1533-position model. The record is from RNAcentral.